AGUUUCGAAUCAUUCACAAUGGGCGAAAGCCUGAUGGUGCGACGCCGCGUGAGGGAUGAAGGUCUUCGGAUUGUAAACCUCUGUCACUGGGGAGAAAACGCUUUGAGUUAAUAGUUCAAAGCCUGAUUUAACCCGGAGAGGAAGCAGUGGCUAACUCUGUGCCAGCAGCCGCGGUAAUACAGAGACUGCAAGCGUUAUUCGGAUUCACUGGGCGUAAAGGGUGCGCAGGCGGCCGUGUGUGUUAGAUGUGAAAUCCCGGGGCUCAACCCCGGAACUGCGUCUAAAACUACAUGGCUAGAGUAUUGGAGAGGGUAACGGAAUUCACGGUGUAGCAGUGAAAUGCGUAGAUAUCGUGAGGAACACCAGAGGCGAAGGCGGUUACCUGGACAAUUACUGACGCUCAGGCACGAAAGCAUGGGGAGCAAA
This 426-nucleotide ribosomal RNA is filed under the name uncultured Opitutus sp. RNAcentral's name for it is "bacterial SSU rRNA". It matches the Rfam family "Bacterial small subunit ribosomal RNA", at positions 353 to 772 of the family's 1533-position model. The record is from RNAcentral. Lineage: Bacteria; Pseudomonadati; Verrucomicrobiota; Opitutia; Opitutales; Opitutaceae.